Molecule: small nuclear RNA, 67 nt
Filed under: Panthera leo (lion)
Lineage: Eukaryota; Metazoa; Chordata; Mammalia; Carnivora; Felidae
Description: U2 spliceosomal RNA (ENSPLOG00000018179.1)
Rfam family: U2 spliceosomal RNA
About the family: U2 is a small nuclear RNA (snRNA) component of the spliceosome (involved in pre-mRNA splicing). Complementary binding between U2 snRNA (in an area lying towards the 5' end but 3' to hairpin I) and the branchpoint sequence (BPS) of the intron results the bulging out of an unpaired adenosine, on the BPS, which initiates a nucleophilic attack at the intronic 5' splice site, thus starting the first of two transesterification reactions that mediate splicing.
Source: RNAcentral
AUCGCUUCUCGGCCUUUUGGCUAAGAUCAAGUGUAGUAUAAAAUCAUUACAUAAAUUUGAAAGUGUU